Molecule: ribosomal RNA, 478 nt
Filed under: uncultured bacterium
Lineage: Bacteria
Description: partial 16S ribosomal RNA
Rfam family: Bacterial small subunit ribosomal RNA
Source: RNAcentral
GAUGAACGCUGGCGGCGUGCCUAACACAUGCAAGUCGAACGGAGUCCAGCCUUUAAGACCUUCGGGUCAAAGAGGGGAAGACUGAGUGGCGGACGGGUGAGUAACACGUGGGCAACCUGGCACAUAGAGGGGGAUAACAGAGAGAAAUUUCUGCUAAUACCGCAUAAGCACACACUGCCGCAUGGCAGAGGGUGAAAAGAGAAUCGCUAUGAGAUGGACCCGCGUCUGAUUAGCCAGUUGGCAGGGUAAGAGCCUACCAAAGCGACGAUCAGUAGCCGAUCUGAGAGGAUGAACGGCCACAUUGGGACUGAGACACGGCCCAAACUCCUACGGGAGGCAGCAGUGGGGGAUAUUGCACAAUGGGGGGAACCCUGAUGCAGCGACGCCGCGUGAGUGAAGAAGUAUUUCGGUAUGUAAAGCUCUAUCAGCAGGGAAGAUAAUGACAGUACCUGAAUAAGAAGCCCCGGCUAACUACGUG